Molecule: ribosomal RNA, 447 nt
Filed under: uncultured bacterium
Lineage: Bacteria
Description: partial 16S ribosomal RNA
Rfam family: Bacterial small subunit ribosomal RNA
Source: RNAcentral
AGCGAACGCUGGCGGCAGGCUUAACUCAUGCAAGUCGAACGCCCCGCAAGGGGAGUGGCAGACGGGUGAGUAACACGCGGGAACGUACCCUUUGGUUCGGAAUAACUUGGGGAAACUCAAGCUAAUACCGGAUAAGCCCUUAUGGGGAAAGGUUUACUGCCGAAGGAUCGGCCCGCGUCUGAUUAGCUAGUUGGUGAGGUAAUGGCUCACCAAGGCGACGAUCAGUAGCUGGUCUGAGAGGAUGAUCAGCCACACUGGGACUGAGACACGGCCCAGACUCCUACGGGAGGCAGCAGUGGGGAAUAUUGGACAAGGGGGGCAACCCUGAUCCAGCCAUGCCGCGUGAGUGAUGAAGGCCUUAGGGUUGUAAAGCUCUUUUACCCGGGACGAUAAUGACUGUACCGGGAGAAUAAGCCCCGGCUAACUUCGUGCCAGCAGCCGCCGUAA